This is a long non-coding RNA of Papaver somniferum (opium poppy), 296 nucleotides long. RefSeq lists it as uncharacterized. Lineage: Eukaryota; Viridiplantae; Streptophyta; Magnoliopsida; Ranunculales; Papaveraceae. The record is from RefSeq and is a predicted model, not a curated record. The transcript is spliced from 3 exons.
UGGGGAUCAUCUUCGAAAUAUCUGCACUUAAGCUGUGGAUGUUUGCAAUUCGUGUUCAAUGUGACUACCUUUAUGCAAGGGGCGUCACUUAGGCUGAUUUUUUUUUAUGGUGGGAGUAAGGUGAAUGUGGGUGUAAGGGGUGUUACUUAGAACUUCAAGAGGAAAAUAUUGUAGUUCUUCGAAGAGGAAAUUUGGGAAGCUAAGUUUAUAACAUUGAAGAGUUUGGAAUUGAACUUUCAAUCUGACAUUAUUGGUUGCUGGGAAGGUCUUUCUGUAUCUAGCAAUCAGUUGCAGGU